CAGAGAUUCACAUCAUUGGAAUGACUACAUGUGCCAUCAGCCUGGAUUUUUUAUAUGUGAAAAGCAGGAUGAAAUGGAAAUCAUCGGUUGAUUCGUCUAAUCGAAAACGAAUUGCUUUGCUGCAGACUUGAUCCGAAAUUAUUUGUGAAUGCUAUUAAAAUAUCAAUCAAA
This is a long non-coding RNA of Mya arenaria, 171 nucleotides long. RefSeq lists it as uncharacterized. The transcript is spliced from 2 exons. NCBI's taxonomy places the organism in Eukaryota, Metazoa, Mollusca, Bivalvia, Myida, Myidae. The record is from RefSeq and is a predicted model, not a curated record.